RNAcentral lists this ribosomal RNA (258 nucleotides) under uncultured bacterium. Its description in RNAcentral is "partial 16S ribosomal RNA". It matches the Rfam family "Bacterial small subunit ribosomal RNA", at positions 526 to 779 of the family's 1533-position model. The record is from RNAcentral.
CGUAGGUGCGAGCGUUAAUCGGAAUUACUGGGCGUAAAGCGGGCGCAGACGGUUACUUAAGCAGGAUGUGAAAAUCCCCGGGCGUCAACCUGGGAACGUGCGUUCUUGAACUGGGUGGACUAGAGUGUGUCAGAGGGAGGUAGAAUUCCACGUGUAGCAGUGAAAUGCGUAGAGAUGUGGAGGAAUACCGAUGGCGAAGGCAGCCUCCUGGGAUAACACUGACGUUCAUGCCCGAAAGCGUGGGUAGCAAACAGGAUU